RNAcentral lists this ribosomal RNA (255 nucleotides) under uncultured bacterium. Its description in RNAcentral is "partial 16S ribosomal RNA". It matches the Rfam family "Bacterial small subunit ribosomal RNA", at positions 74 to 334 of the family's 1533-position model. The record is from RNAcentral.
CAAACCAAAGCUGGCGACCGGCGCACGGGUGAGUAACACGUAUCCAACCUGCCUCAUACUCGGGGAUAGCUUUUCGAAAGAAAGAUUAAUAUCCGAUAGCAUAUAUUUCCCGCAUGGGUUUUAUAUUAAAGAAAUUCGGUAUGAGAUGGGGAUGCGUUCCAUUAGUUUGUUGGGGGGGUAACGGCCCACCAAGACUACGAUGGAUAGGGGUUCUGAGAGGAAGGUCCCCCACAUUGGAACUGAGACACGGUCCAA